Molecule: ribosomal RNA, 374 nt
Filed under: uncultured organism
Description: partial 16S ribosomal RNA
Rfam family: Bacterial small subunit ribosomal RNA
Source: RNAcentral
GUAGGUGGCAAGCGUUGUCCGGAAUUAUUGGGGCGUAAAGCGCGCGCAGGCGGUUCUUUAAGUCUGAUGUGAAAGCCCACGGGCUCAACCGUGGAGGGUCAUUGGAAACUGGAGAACUUGAGUACAGAAGAGGAAAGCGGAAUUCCACGUGUAGCGGUGAAAUGCGUAGAGAUGUGGAGGAACACCAGUGGCGAAGGCGGCUUCCUGGUCUGUAACUGACGCUGAGGCGCGAAAGCGUGGGGAGCGAACAGGAUUAGAUACCCUGGUAGUCCACGCCGUAAACGAUGAGUGCUAAGUGUUAGGGGGUUUCCGCCCCUUAGUGCUGCAGCUAACGCAUUAAGCACUCCGCCUGGGGAGUACGGCCGCAAAGGCUG